CCAGGUGCAACUAUACAUGAUACAGUUUGAAUCAGCCCUUAGAAGAGUAAUUUUUCUGCCCUGUAAGGCUGGGUUUGGGCACGACAGGACGCUGUUUGUAUCUUCUGUGCAAGCAAACACGAUGCACCCAGGGGGAGCAGCCGGGAGACUGGGGCUUGCAGGUUUAUCCUCCCGGAGAUUGCAUUUGUGUUAUUGUUAAUAAACCUGCCUUGCAAAUCUACUCUGAAGGAAGAGCAGGGUUUCGUUCAUCAGCACUUAUUGCUGAAGGCAGCUCUGUGUUCUCCACGUGUCCCCACGGACACUUUGUGCCUUCCCGGGGAGAGCACAUUGAGCUGAAAUUGCUUCCAAUCUUCCGUCGGCCCGAGCGGCGGGAAUGGGUUUGUGCGGCGGCCGCUUCCACCCUGCCAGCCUCUGAAAAAUAAUGGAGCAAGUAGCCAAGCUGGGGAAACAAAUAGGGUAUUAUAGAGUUUAUUCAUAUGUGCUGCCUUCCAUCCCAUUUGUCACCAUUUCAUCCCACCUGCUGCUGAGCAGGGUUCUGUUGCUCAGAGAUGCCUUCGAGGCGUCGUUGGCACUGCGCUGGUACUACGAGUGAAUAUCAAUAUCUGCUUUGAAUAACCUAAAUGUGUUUUAAACAAGGCAUUGCCAAAUUAUGGCAGUAGCCGUGCGUGGGGCUCUGCAAACACCAAUUAAGAGUCUGUCUCAUUUACAAUGAGAUCCAUUGAGAAAAGUUAUUCUGAGGAGAAAUUUGGCACGUCGUGACCAAGAUUAGGAACUCACUUCACCCCUUUCCCCCCUUUUUCACUGGUUUUCUUCCUCUUCUGUGUAGAAAAACAUUAGCUGAUGCUGUAACUGCUAAAUAAUUCAGAUAAAAGAUUGCUCUCCAUGAGAGGACAGAGCAAGGCACAGGAAUGGCUGUUUCUGGGGUGCACAAAAGGCUCUUUCACUCAGUCUGGUGAGGCAGAAUGGAAAGGAGAUGCUUGAAUAUAAAAAGUUUCUUAUAAAGUAACUAAUAAUGACUUUAAGCUGAAGGAGGGGAGAUUUAGAUUAGAUAUUGGGAAGGAAUUCUUCCCUGUGAGGGUGGGGAGGCCCUGGCACAGGUUGCCCAGAGAAACUGUGGCUGCCCCUGGAUCCCUGGAAGUGUCCAAGGCCAGGUUGGACGGGGCUUGGAGCAACCUGGGCUAGUGGAAGGUGUCCCUGCCCAUGGCAGGGGGUGGCACUGGAUGAGCUUUAAGGUCCCUUCCAGCCUAAAGCCUUUUGUGGUUCUAUGAUUCUAAGUAAGCACAGACCACUUGGAGGAGUGGAAGCAUCUGCAGCUUGUGCUGAUCUCACUUGAAAUUGAGAACUUUUGCUUCAAGGUGCCCAUCUGAUGCUCCCCUGAGGUUGUCUGGUUGGAGAAUAGAUUAGAUGCUGAUACCAAUCUUUUUUGGGUGGUUGAAGGGAUUGUGAUUUGGCCUCCAGUCUGCUUUUUAUGAAGCUUUUGCUCCCUUCUCGCUCGUGCUUUGCCAACUCCAUUAUCCACCUUGGUUGGCAGUUUGCAAACUGCAGCCUCCCAUUAGCACAGGAUGCUGGUGGAUUUUUCCAGGUUCUCCUCACUGGUGAGCACUUAUAAAACAUCUGCAAACAGCAAGAGGAGCUGGCACAGCCCGGGGUGAUGGCAGAUGACAUCUGUAACUCUGGCAGACGAUGACUGGCACAGAGGAGCUGUGCUGAGCUGCUGGACAGCAGCCAGAGGAGGCGAGUUUGGAGAGAUCACCUCUAAAAUCACCACAAGGAAAAAGGAAAUCCUGAAGAGUGCUGGCCUGCUGCAAGGUAGGAUAAACAUAUUUAAAAUAAGUGAAGUGUUUUCCUCCAACAGCAGCGAAAUGGACAAGUGUUGGAAUCGGAGAGAGGGAGUGCAGGUGCUCAUGGAGCUUGUACGGUUGGGUGUCUCAAUGGCCUGCAAGGGAUCUGCAGUAAAUGUUUUAUCUGUGUUGUUAUAGUAGUGCUGUGAAUCUUAUUGUGCUCCUCAGAACUGAGUUUGGCUCUGGAAUCUGCAGUGCAGAGUCUCUGAUUUCUUCUAUAGUCAAAAAAUUAAUUCAAUUACACGCUGAUAUUUGUGUUUUUAGAGGUGGUUAAUUUUCGUGAUUGUGGGAAUAAUUCUGUAAAAGAGAAUAGAAUGUGCACGAAAUGAGAAAGUCACGUAGAAAAACUACAGUCCCAUUCCUUUUCACACUAAAUUGCUGUUUGCUGCAAUCAUGGGUGCAUUGUGGGCAAUAAAUACCACAAUGAGUGCAGGACUAGGGCUUGUGAUGUCUGGUUUUAGCACUUCUCAUAACUUAAAUGAUACUUGGCAUUUCUUAUCAAAAUGAUAAUGGCUGUGGUGUCAUAUUGGUGUGUUUUGCAGGUAUUUAAUAUAUCUGAAAUAUCUUCUGUCUCCAGUUCCAGCUCCUGACAGCCAGCCUUUGUGUAUGAGCCCCUUUGGAGUCUGGAGAUAUGCAAAGGAUGCAGCAGCUCUUGCUGGGCCUGCCUGCUUUGGAGUGGUGUGAUUUAUGUCUGUUGACUGCAAAUGCUUUGCCCCACCAAAGAGCUGCAUCACAAAGCUACUAAAGUCAGGCAGCUCUUCUUUUCUAGGGCUCUCCAGUCCCUGGGAGGAACAGCAAGUGCUGCAGAGCAAAAUGCUGAGAAGAAAUGGCUCUGAGCUCCCUGCCCAAGGACUGUGUGAUGCCAUGAACCAGACUGGGCACAAGGGGUUGCUGGUGACCAAACAUAGUCUGGGGGGUUGUUACCCUGGUCUCAAAUUGUGAAUGGUAAAGUAAUUCCUUAGUGUUUUCCUUCCUGACAUCCCUGGUAUCGUGGUUUAUUCCGUGAUGUUGAUGGAUCAGGAAUCUCCUGCCUGCGAUGGUCGAAAAUCCAGCUUAACUUUUGCUCUCUCAAAGUAAUUUUAUAGGGUUUUAAAAAUAUGUUUUUUACAAGGGAACUAUUAAUCUCUUGGUCAUUUUCUCUGAGGUUUGUCAUGCUGAAAGCUGCCGUGGUACCAUGUGCACAGGGUCCAUCCUGGGACAGUGCCCACCUUGUGUUUCUGGAGGAGGAAGGUGGAGCUCUCAUCAGAACAGGGCAGCUGCACCAUCCAAGGCACCUCAACUGGGAGCUGGAACUCCACUGAGGAGAUUGUACAUGCUAGUAAAGGUACAGAAUAGGACAUUUUGGAUGGAGAAAUCUUCUUCUUUCUUGGCUUGGAGUUGGCUGAGUUAGUCUUCAGUUUCAAGGGGAAAAAACCCCAAUCCAUGGAUUUUGUGCCUUUCUAAAUCAUUUCUUUCUAUGGUGAUUUCCACUGGAGCAGACCCUCCUUCUCCAGAGGGGUGGCAGCAGGAAGGUGGAAUUGUUG
Long non-coding RNA from Pseudopipra pipra, 3364 nucleotides. RefSeq lists it as uncharacterized. NCBI's taxonomy places the organism in Eukaryota, Metazoa, Chordata, Aves, Passeriformes, Pipridae. The record is from RefSeq and is a predicted model, not a curated record. The transcript is spliced from 3 exons.